This 92-nucleotide transfer RNA is filed under the name Adlercreutzia hattorii. RNAcentral's name for it is "tRNA-Pro". The record is from RNAcentral. Lineage: Bacteria; Bacillati; Actinomycetota; Coriobacteriia; Eggerthellales; Eggerthellaceae.
GCGCAGGGUAGCCAGGCGGCGGGCGUAUUCCUCGGCAGGGUGGAUGUUCGAGUUCGCGUAGAACACGACGGGUUCCACCCCUUCCGAGCGCA